CCUAUAAGACUGGGAUAACUUCGGGAAACCGGGGCUAAUGCCGGAUAAUAUUUAGAACCGCAUGGUUCUAAAGUGAAAGAUGGUUUUACUAUCACUUAUAGAUGGACCCGCGCCGUAUUAGCUAGUUGGUGGGGUAAUGGCUUACCAAGGCAACGAUACGUAGCCGACCUGAGAGGGUGAUCGGCCACACCGGAACUGAGACACGGUCCAGACUCCUACGGGAGGCAGCAGUAGGGAAUCUUCCGCAAUGGGCGAAAGCCUGACGGAGCAACGCCGCGUGAGUGAUGAAGGUCUUCGGAUCGUAAAACUCUGUUAUUAGGGAAGAACAAAUGUGUAAGUAACUGUGCACGUCUUGACGGUACCUAAUCAGAAAGCCACGGCUAACUACGUGCCAGCAGCCGCGGUAAUACGUAGGUGGCAAGCGUUAUCCGGAAUUAUUGGGCGUAAAGCGCGCGUAGGCGGUUUCUUAAGUCUGAUGUGAAAGCCCACGGCUCAACCGUGGAGGGUCAUUGGAAACUGGGAAACUUGAGUGCAGAAGAGGAAAGUGGAAUUCCAUGUGUAGCGGUGAAAUGCGCAGAGAUAUGGAGGAACACCAGUGGCGAAGGCGACUUUCUGGUCUGUAACUGACGCUGAUGUGCGAAAGCGUGGGGAUCAAACAGGAUUAGAUACCCUGGUAGUCCACGCCGUAAACGAUGAGUGCUAAGUGUUAGGGGGUUUCCGCCCCUUAGUGCUGCAGCUAACGCAUUAAGCACUCCGCCUGGGGAGUACGACCGCAAGGUUGAAACUCAAA
RNAcentral lists this ribosomal RNA (790 nucleotides) under uncultured Staphylococcus sp. Its description in RNAcentral is "bacterial SSU rRNA". It matches the Rfam family "Bacterial small subunit ribosomal RNA", at positions 129 to 905 of the family's 1533-position model. The record is from RNAcentral. Lineage: Bacteria; Bacillati; Bacillota; Bacilli; Caryophanales; Staphylococcaceae.